This 1122-nucleotide ribosomal RNA is filed under the name uncultured bacterium. RNAcentral describes it as "bacterial SSU rRNA". It matches the Rfam family "Bacterial small subunit ribosomal RNA", at positions 1 to 1093 of the family's 1533-position model. The record is from RNAcentral.
GCCGUGGACGCGCGGAUCUUCAGAGAUUAGAGUUUGAUCAUGGCUCAGAUUGAACGCUGGCGGCAUGCCUUACACAUGCAAGUCGAACGGCAGCACGGGAGCAAUCCUGGUGGCGAGUGGCGAACGGGUGAGUAAUGUAUCGGAACGUACCUUUCAGUGGGGGAUAACGUAGCGAAAGUUACGCUAAUACCGCAUAUUCUGUGAGCAGGAAAGCAGGGGAUCGCAAGACCUUGCGCUGAUUGAGCGGCCGAUAUCAGAUUAGCUAGUUGGUGAGGUAAAGGCUCACCAAGGCGACGAUCUGUAGCGGGUCUGAGAGGAUGAUCCGCCACACUGGAACUGAGACACGGUCCAGACUCCUACGGGAGGCAGCAGUGGGGAAUUUUGGACAAUGGGCGCAAGCCUGAUCCAGCCAUGCCGCGUGAGUGAAGAAGGCCUUCGGGUUGUAAAGCUCUUUCAGCCGGGAAGAAAACGCAUGGGUUAAUACCCUGUGUGGAUGACGGUACCGGAAUAAGAAGCACCGGCUAACUACGUGCCAGCAGCCGCGGUAAUACGUAGGGUGCGAGCGUUAAUCGGAAUUACUGGGCGUAAAGCGUGCGCAGGCGGUUUGUUAAGAUAGGCGUGAAAUCCCCGGGCUCAACCUGGGAACUGCGUUUAUGACUGGCAGGCUAGAGUAUGGCAGAGGGGGGUGGAAUUCCACGUGUAGCAGUGAAAUGCGUAGAGAUGUGGAGGAACACCGAUGGCGAAGGCAGCCCCCUGGGCCAAUACUGACGCUCAUGCACGAAAGCGUGGGUAGCAAACAGGAUUAGAUACCCUGGUAGUCCACGCCCUAAACGAUGUCAACUAGGUGUUGGGAGGGUAAAACCUUUUAGUACCGGAGCUAACGCGUGAAGUUGACCGCCUGGGGAGUACGGCCGCAAGGUUAAAACUCAAAGGAAUUGACGGGGACCCGCACAAGCGGUGGAUGAUGUGGAUUAAUUCGAUGCAACGCGAAAAACCUUACCUACCCUUGACAUGUCCGGAAGCCCUUAGAGAUUUGGGUGUGCUCGAAAGAGAGCCGGGAACACAGGUGCUGCAUGGCUGUCGUCAGCUCGUGUCGUGAGAUGUUGGGUUAAGUCCCGCAAA